AUGGUACAUAAUACCCUUUUUAAAUAGUGUGGUUUAUUCCACCAAACUAAAUCUAAAAGUUGAAUGUCUACUACUUUCAUUGUUGCUUGGGGAACAUCCAAUGCCAUUACAGUACAUGCUAGUCUUGAUAAAGCAAUACGACCGUUGAAAUAUAUAAAUCCAGCAGGGCUAGUAGAUGUGGGUGCUCACUGCCCUAUAAUCCGCUUCAUUGUCAAUUGACAGCGAGUCUCUUUGGAGCUAGGAGCGGUCGACAUCUUGAAUUGGAGUAAGAAAUCACUCCUCAUGGCCUGUUAUGACUGAGAGGCUGCCAUCAUGAUUGGAGGAUUGUUCAUCUACAACCACAAGGGGGAGGUGCUGAUCUCCCGCGUCUACCGUGAUGACAUAGGGCGCAACGCGGUGGAUGCGUUCCGCGUGAACGUGAUCCAUGCGCGGCAGCAGGUGCGCUCGCCGGUCACCAACAUCGCCCGCACCAGCUUCUUCCACGUCAAGCGCUCCAACAUCUGGCUGGCGGCGGUCACCAAGCAGAAUGUUAACGCUGCCAUGGUGUUCGAGUUCCUCUACAAGAUGUGCGACGUCAUGACGGCCUACUUCGGCAAGAUCAGCGAGGAGAACAUCAAGAACAACUUUGUGCUGAUCUACGAGCUGCUGGACGAGAUCCUGGACUUUGGCUACCCCCAGAACUCGGAGACUGGGGCACUGAAGACCUUCAUCACUCAAACGGGCAUCAAGAGCCAGCACCAUUCCAAGGAGGAGCAGUCUCAGAUCACCAGUCAGGUGACUGGGCAGAUCGGCUGGCGUCGCGAGGGCAUCAAGUACCGUCGCAACGAGCUCUUCCUGGAUGUGCUGGAGAGCGUCAACCUGCUGAUGUCUCCACAAGGCCAGGUGCUGAGCGCCCACGUCUCGGGCCGCGUGGUGAUGAAGAGCUACCUGAGCGGCAUGCCGGAGUGCAAAUUUGGAAUGAACGACAAGAUCGUCAUCGACAAACAGGGCAAAGGGGGUGCCACCGAGGAGGCGGCGGGCAAGAGUGAUUUGGGGGGCAGUGGCGGUGGUGGCGGUAAGCAAUCCAUAGCUAUUGACGAUUGUACAUUCCACCAGUGUGUGCGUCUCAGUAAGUUUGACGCUGAGCGCAGCAUCAGCUUCAUUCCUCCGGACGGCGAAUGUGAACUCAUGAGGUACCGCACCACCAAGGACAUCAUCCUACCCUUCCGUGUCAUCCCCCUUGUCAGGGAGGUGGGCCGCACCAAGCUUGAAGUCAAGGUGGUCAUUAAGUCCAACUUCAAGCCCUCGCUUCUGGCUCAGAAGAUUGAGGUAUGGCUACAGAGGGAUAUAGGGGUACCAAGUGAGCGUAGAGCUUUGGACACAGUACCUGACCAGGUCGUGGUCAUCAUGGUCAGGUGCGCAUCCCCACCCCUCUCAACACCAGCGGGGUCCAGGUGAUCUGCAUGAAGGGCAAGGCCAAGUACAAGGCCAGCGAGAACGCCAUCGUCUGGAAGAUCAAGCGUAUGGCAGGGAUGAAGGAGUCUCAAAUCAGUGCUGAGAUCGAGCUGCUGCCCACCAACGACAAGAAGAAGUGGGCGCGCCCUCCCAUCUCCAUGAACUUUGAGGUGCCAUUUGCUCCGUCCGGACUCAAGGUGCGCUACCUGAAGGUGUUCGAGCCCAAGCUGAACUACAGUGACCACGACGUCAUCAAAUGGGUGCGCUAUAUCGGCCGCAGCGGCAUCUACGAGACACGCUGCUAACCGCCACCUCACAAUCAGGUGGAAAGAGGGACGCAACAGGGAAGAGGCUGGAACAAGGGAGGGAGCGAAAAAUGACAACAUGGGAUCGUUUCUUUCAGUCUUUUUUUCCCCUGGGCUGGCUGACAAACGAAAAAAAUCUAUAUAUUGAAAAGUAUUAUAUUAUUAAACGCAUAUAUGUAUAAAUAAUGCAAACAUCCUGUGAAGUACAAAAAAUACCAUCUGCAUCUAAAGGGUCUUUUCCCCCUUUUUAAUCUAAACAAAAAAUCCAUUCCACCCCAUGAUAUGAUAUGUUGUCUACUAUUCCUGUACUACCCAUCUAUUCCCCAUGGCACUGCCCAUAACCACAGAUCUAGAAUCAGAUUACGCACCAUACCCUCAAUCCUAAUGUGUUAGGAAGUUAAAAAAGUAUCUGACCAUGUAUGGCUUAGGAGUAACUGCUACCCUCCCUCUCUUGAUGCUGGCGUAGGAGUGUGUGUUGCUCUUCUGUUCUCCUGUAGCAACUAACGUCUCCUGUCCCACCUCUCUCUCCCCAGCCCUGCCCCUGUAUCUGUAUAUCUAACCGGUGGAGUCACUCUUUAGCCUAGUGUGUAGUUUUCAGCAGUAUGUAGUGUAGAUGCAUCCAUUAAGUGUCAUUCCAUUUUCAAUACAUUUUAUACGUUUUGUUAUUUUAACACCCGGCCUUCCCCGAGUAUUUUAGUCAUGAAUCGUCAUGUGUUUUUGUAUUUAGUGCUUUGUCGUGCUUCUCUAAAGCUCUCUGGCCACCAUUCCAUCACGCUCUCUCACUGUCUUAUCCCACACCCUUAGACCUCCUCUACUAUUUCCAAUAGCUGGUGGUGUCCUUGUUAUUAUGAUUCCUCUUGACGCAGAUAUAAUAAUGAUGAUUUUUUUGCUGUAGUUCCUGUCAUUUUCUGUCUUUAGUGCUGCAGAGAUUCCUUCUGUGUGACCAAAAUUGUCAGUUUUAGGAACAAAAAAAAUGUAGCGAUGACAAUAGACGGGACACAUCAGUCUAUGAAUAUAAAUAUAUAUAAACACAUUUCUAUAUUGUAUGAAUGGUAAAAAUGUGCUAUCGAGCAGAGCCAGUUGUUACGGUCUCAGUGGACUGCUGUUAUGGUGUUUGUGUAGGAGACUCGGUUGAGCAGAUCUCUCUCUGUGUGUGUGUGUGUGUGUGUGUGUGUGUGUGUGUGUGUGUGUGUGUGUGUGUGUGUGUGUGUGUGUGUGUGUGUGUGUGUGUGUGUGUGUGUGUGUGUGUGUUGAUAUUCUUCCCCAGGACCACAAUCUGCUCAACAUGUCUCAGGAAUCUGAAAUUCUGGCUGCAAAUUCCCAGUUCUGAUCCCGACUGGAAUUCUGACCCUCCCAUACGCUUUACAUUAGCAUGGGUGUAUUUCUUGACCAGUUAAAGGGAUAGUUCACCAAAAUUACAAUGGCAUUGGUUUCCUUACACUGUAAGCAGUCUAUGUACAAGGUAUGACAACAACAUGCUUUGGUUUAGUUUCCCUGGCACUGUUAUCACAUGCUAACGUUUUAGCAUUUGUGGCACAAAUCCCAAUCAAGUCAUGGGACCGAUAUUAGUAUUUGUCGCGCAUCAUGUUCAAAUCAAUUUGAGAUCCAUUUGGACAUGAUGCAUCAAAAAUGAUAAUAUCUGUCCCAUGACUUCAAUGGGAUUUGUGCCACAAAUGCUAAAAUGUUUGCAUGUGGAAACGGUGCCAAGGAAACUAAACCAAAGCAUGGCUUGCUGUCAUACCUUGUCCAAAGACUGCUUACAGGGUAAGGUAACUAAUUUGUAAUUUGGGUGAACUAUUCCUUUAAGCUUCAAUAACCCCCUACAUUCCAUGUGCACUGAUUUCCCCCACCCAUACAAAAAAAGAUAUUGUUUACAACUUAAUUUUGAAAUCAGUUUAAUGAAGGGAUUUGGAUAUGGAACAAUGGUGUUUGUUACCAGAGAGAGAAAUGGGCAGCGUCCCAAAUAGUACAUUACUUUUAAGGUGCCAUUUGGGACAGAGACGGAGUGAGUGAGUGUUCAACUCAACUCAGCCUACUAGACUUGGACUGCCUGCAUUUCAAAUUAACAUUUUAAAAUAUUCCACCUUUCCGAUAAUGAGUGCGGCUUCAGAUAGCGUUCCUCUUCCUCCUAUAUUCCUUCUAGUUCAAUCAUGGCUAUUGUGUGUAUUAAACAAAGGCUAUCAGAUUGUCUGAGCAUUUGCAGUUGCAAAAAACACUCAGUGUGACACUACAUAAUGUUUACAUUCUCUUUUUCUCUGGCACUACGUUCUACCAAUGAACACUAAAAGCGCUUCUGCUAACUUCUGAAAAACCCUAUCUCUCUGGCUGUCUGUAAUUGCACACUAUUCCCAAAAUCCUAUGGGCCCUGGCCAAAAGUAGUGCACUAUAUAGGCAAUAGGUUGCCAAUUCAGACCUAGUCUCUCUCUCUGGUCAAUGCCCACUAUGUCAUGCCACACCCUGAGAGAUGGGGAGGGAGAGUCCUGGGGGCUUGACCCUCUGCUUCAAUGUUUCCAUUGGCUCCAUUUGGUAACUAUGUGACUGUCAAGGUAAUCCCAAUAAAAAGGUGUAACCAAUGGAA
Molecule: non-coding RNA, 4317 nt
Organism: Salmo salar (Atlantic salmon)
Lineage: Eukaryota; Metazoa; Chordata; Actinopteri; Salmoniformes; Salmonidae
Source: RefSeq, a predicted model, not a curated record